GCAAUGGUACCAGAUAUCUGGAUAGGUUGAAUAGUCACAAUCACAACAUUCAGAACCUACGCGAAUAUGGCUACUGUAUAAUUCAUCUCUUUUGACCCCUGUGUAUAGGACGACUCAGGGUUAAACUGUCAACCCUGAUCAGAUCAUCCGAAUCGUGCUCAACUCAAACAGUCCUGUGACUCCUCACUAGGACUAUCCUGGCCA
This 204-nucleotide long non-coding RNA is filed under the name Elaeis guineensis (African oil palm). RNAcentral describes it as "long non-coding RNA (EGUI_LNC073165)". The record is from RNAcentral. Lineage: Eukaryota; Viridiplantae; Streptophyta; Magnoliopsida; Arecales; Arecaceae.